This 1926-nucleotide long non-coding RNA is filed under the name Marmota monax (woodchuck). The record is from RNAcentral. Lineage: Eukaryota; Metazoa; Chordata; Mammalia; Rodentia; Sciuridae.
GCAUAUAUUGAGCAUUGAUCAUCUCUAUUCUUCUAUUUGCCUUCUCUUCCCUUCCCUUUCUCUCCCUCCCCAGCUCCCCUCUCAGUCCCCAAUAGUCCCUCUUCUACUUUCAGAUUUUUUUUUGGGGGGGGGGAUUUGUUUUGUUUCUUCAUAUGAGAGAAAAUACACUAUGCUUGUCUUUCUAUUUUUGAUGUAUUUUGUUUAACAUAAUGAUUUCCAAUUUUCCUGCAAAGGACAUGAUUUCAUUCUUCUUUAUGGCUGAAUAAUACUCCAUUGUGUAUAUGUGCCACGGUUUCUUUAUCCAUUCAUCUGUUGAUAGGCAAACACUGAUUCCAUAUCUUGGUUAUUGUGAAUAGUGCCAUAAUAAACAUGGGCAUACAGGUGUCUCUUUAGUAUACCAACUCCAGGAAUGUUAUAACUGGAUUAUAAGGUUGUUCAAUUUUAUUAUUUUGAGGCAUCUCUAUUAUGUUUUCCAUAGUGGCUUUCUUUUUUUUUAAAUUUCUUAUGUUUUAUUUUUUUAAACAAUGUUUUUUUAUUUUUAUAUGGUGCUGAGGAUCAAACCCGGGUCCUUCCCAUGCUAGGCGAGCACUCUACAGCUGAGCCACAAUCCCAGCCCCUCCAUAGUGGCUUUCUUAAUUAAUGAUCCUACCAACAUCAGGAGCAGAGUUCCUUUUUCUCCACAUACUCACCAGCACUAAUUUUUUGUUUUUCAGAUAUAAGCCACUCUGAUUGGGGUGAGAUGGAAUCACAAUGUAGUUUUGAUUUGCAUUUUCCUGAUGUGUAAAUGUAUGAAGCAUUUUUCAUAUAUUUGUCUGUCAUUUGUACGUCUUUUAUGAAGUGUCUGUUCAGAUCAUUUGCCCAUUUUUGAUUGGAUAACUUGGUCUUUUGUUGUUAAGUUUUUUGAGUUCUUUAUAUAUAUUGGACAUUAAUCCUCUUAUGGAUGAAAAACAGGCAGAUAUUUCCUCAUAUUCUAAAGGUUGUUGUUUUUCUUUUUCACUCUGUUAAUUACUUCCUUUGCUGUGCAGAAGCUUUUUAAGUCGAUACAAUCGAUCCCAUUUGUCCCUUCUUUCUCCUGUUUCCUGAGUAAUGGGAAUCCUGUCUAGGAGAUCCUUGUCUAUGCCAACAUCUUGAAGUCUUCCCCUGUUUUUCUCUAGUGGCUUCAAAUCUUCGGGUCUUAUAUUAGGUCUUUGAUCCAUUUUGAGUUGACUUUUGUGCAGGGUGAGAGAUGGGGGUCUGGUUUCAAUCUUCAGCAUGUAGACAUUCAGUUUUCCCACCAUCAUUUAUUGAAGAAGCUGUCCUUUCUCUAAUGUAUGUUUUGGGCACCUUAGACAAGAAUCAGUUGGUUGAAGAUGUGUGGGUUGUUUCUGGGUCCUCUAUUCUGUUUCCUUGGUCUCUGUAUUUACCUUUAUGCCACUGCCAUGCUGUUUUUAUUAUCAUGGCUCAGGUAUUGUAAUGCCUCCAGCGUUGUUCUUUUUGCUCAUUAUUUAUUAUUAUUUGCCGCAGUCCGGCUGGCUGCAGCAAAAUAACCGGGGAGGGGGGGGGUGACGAAGAACUUGUGUACGUUGAUACAGCAGGAGUAGGAGCCGUUUAUUGCAGGACAGGAGCAGUAUUUAUACAUUCCACACAGCUUAUCUAAUUAGCAUAAACUAGAUACAUCAGUCAACCAAUAAGGAAUCUCCACACUUAAUGGCUCGCUGGUGUUACUUCACAAACCACUCCCUCUGGCAUUUUGCCAGGCACCAUUCAGAUUUGUUUACAGACUCUAACAUUUCUCUGGCAAAAUGCCAGGUGUCAUCCUGACUUGUUUACAGACUCUAACAAUUAUUAUUAUUAUUAGCCUAUUCAGGGUCUUUUGUGCUUUCAUCUGAAUUGUAGGACUUUUUUUUCUAGCCCUCUGGAGAACGUCAUUGGUAUUUUGAUGAGGAU